RNAcentral lists this ribosomal RNA (213 nucleotides) under Neosycophila sp. 2445_02. Its description in RNAcentral is "partial 28S ribosomal RNA". It matches the Rfam family "Eukaryotic large subunit ribosomal RNA", at positions 967 to 1163 of the family's 3401-position model. The record is from RNAcentral. Lineage: Eukaryota; Metazoa; Arthropoda; Insecta; Hymenoptera; Epichrysomallidae.
UUUCCCUCAGGAUAGCUGGCACUCGCUCGAGCGAGUCUCAUCUGGUAAAGCGAAUGAUUAGAGGCCUUGGGGCCGAAACGACCUCAACCUAUUCUCAAACUUUAAAUGGGUGAGAUCUCUGGCUUGCUUGAAAUAUGAAGCCACGAGAUUUAUUUUGAAUGGAUCAGAGUGCCAAGUGGGCCAAUUUUGGUAAGCAGAACUGGCGCUGUGGGA